Molecule: transfer RNA, 74 nt
Filed under: Macromedaeus distinguendus
Lineage: Eukaryota; Metazoa; Arthropoda; Malacostraca; Decapoda; Xanthidae
Description: tRNA-Val
Rfam family: tRNA
About the family: Transfer RNA (tRNA) molecules are approximately 80 nucleotides in length. Their secondary structure includes four short double-helical elements and three loops (D, anti-codon, and T loops).
Source: RNAcentral
CAAAAUGUAGUUAAAGUUUAUAAAGCGCUUCACUUACAAUGAAGAAAUAACCUGGAAUAUUAGGUUCAUUUUGG